UACAGAGGUCUCAAGCGUUGUUCGGAUUCAUUGGGCGUAAAGGGUGCGUAGGUGGCGAAGCAAGUCUAACGUGAAAUCUCGGGGCUUAACCCCGAAAUUGCGUCGGAUACUGCUUUGCUCGAGGAUUGUAGAGGAGAGUGGAAUUCACGGUGUAGCAGUGAAAUGCGUAGAUAUCGUGAGGAAGACCAGUUGCGAAGGCGACUCUCUGGGCAAUUCCUGACACUGAGGCACGAAGGCCAGGGGAGCAAACGGG
RNAcentral lists this ribosomal RNA (253 nucleotides) under uncultured bacterium. Its description in RNAcentral is "partial 16S ribosomal RNA". It matches the Rfam family "Bacterial small subunit ribosomal RNA", at positions 524 to 776 of the family's 1533-position model. The record is from RNAcentral.